Molecule: ribosomal RNA, 253 nt
Filed under: uncultured bacterium
Lineage: Bacteria
Description: partial 16S ribosomal RNA
Rfam family: Bacterial small subunit ribosomal RNA
Source: RNAcentral
CACGUAGGGUGCAAGCGUUGUCCGGAAUUAUUGGGCGUAAAGGGCUCGUAGGCGGUCCGUCACGUCGGGCGUGAAAACUCGGGGCUCAACCCCGAGCCUGCUUUCGAUACGGGCGGACUAGAGGUAGGUAGGGGAGAACGGAAUUCCUGGUGUAGCGGUGAAAUGCGCAGAUAUCAGGAGGAACACCGGUGGCGAAGGCGGAUCUCUGGGCCUUACCUGACGCUGAGGCGCGAAAGCUAGGGGAGCAAACGGG